CCUCGGAUCAGGUAGGAAUACCCGCUGAACUUAAGCAUAUCAAUAAGCGGA
This 51-nucleotide ribosomal RNA is filed under the name Fusarium proliferatum. RNAcentral's name for it is "partial 28S ribosomal RNA". Lineage: Eukaryota; Fungi; Ascomycota; Sordariomycetes; Hypocreales; Nectriaceae. The record is from RNAcentral.